This 280-nucleotide long non-coding RNA is filed under the name Setaria italica (foxtail millet). Its description in RNAcentral is "long non-coding RNA (SITA_LNC005977)". The record is from RNAcentral. Lineage: Eukaryota; Viridiplantae; Streptophyta; Magnoliopsida; Poales; Poaceae.
UGAGCCUCACAAGGGGCUGCGGUGGAGUGAAGGAGAGGACCUCUACCAUCGCGGUAGGCAUCCUCCAGUGAUAGGCUCCUUCCAGCGAGGCGAUGUUCUUUCUCAUGGAGCGAGAAGUCAAAGGUGCGUCUGAAGAUAUGUCUGCGAGGAUAGAAAGGAAACAAAAGGAAACGGCAAAGAGGCGAAAAUCGUGGGGGUGUGUUGAGCAGUUUGUGCCGCGGCAUGUAUGGGGAAUGGCAAGGUUGAUCGAAAAGCCAAUUUUGAUUCUUGGCAGGAUGAG